CCUACGGGUGACAGCAGUGAGGAAUAUUGGUCAAUAGACGAGAGUCUGAACCAGCCAAGUAGCGUGAAGGAUGACUGGCCUAUGGGUUGUAAACUUCUUUUAUAUGGGAAUAAAAUGUUCCACGUGUGGGAUUUUGUAUGUACCAUAUGAAUAAGGAUCGGCUAACUCCGUGCCAGCAGCUGCGGUAAUACGGAGGAUCCGAGCGUUAUCCGGAUUUAUUGGGUUUAAAGGGAGCGUAGGUGGAUUGUUAAGUCAGUUGUGAAAGUUUGCGGCUCAACCGUAAAAUUGCAGUUGAAACUGGCAGUCUUGAGUACAGUAGAGGUGGGCGGAAUUCGUGGUGUAGCGGUGAAAUGCUUAGAUAUCACGAAGAACUCCGAUUGCGAAGGCAGUUCACUGGACUGCAACUGAUACUGAGGCUCGAAAGUGUGGGUAUCAAACAGGAUUAGAUACCCGGGUAGUC
Molecule: ribosomal RNA, 460 nt
Filed under: uncultured bacterium
Lineage: Bacteria
Description: partial 16S ribosomal RNA
Rfam family: Bacterial small subunit ribosomal RNA
Source: RNAcentral